This 479-nucleotide ribosomal RNA is filed under the name Pseudomonas sp. RNAcentral's name for it is "bacterial SSU rRNA". It matches the Rfam family "Bacterial small subunit ribosomal RNA", at positions 8 to 482 of the family's 1533-position model. The record is from RNAcentral. Lineage: Bacteria; Pseudomonadati; Pseudomonadota; Gammaproteobacteria; Pseudomonadales; Pseudomonadaceae.
AGAGUUUGAUCCUGGCUCAGAUUGAACGCUGGCGGCAGGCCUAACACAUGCAAGUCGAGCGGAUGACGGGAGCUUGCUCCUUGAUUCAGCGGCGGACGGGUGAGUAAUGCCUAGGAAUCUGCCUGGUAGUGGGGGACAACGUUUCGAAAGGAACGCUAAUACCGCAUACGUCCUACGGGAGAAAGCAGGGGACCUUCGGGCCUUGCGCUAUCAGAUGAGCCUAGGUCGGAUUAGCUAGUUGGUGGGGUAAUGGCUCACCAAGGCGACGAUCCGUAACUGGUCUGAGAGGAUGAUCAGUCACACUGGAACUGAGACACGGUCCAGACUCCUACGGGAGGCAGCAGUGGGGAAUAUUGGACAAUGGGCGAAAGCCUGAUCCAGCCAUGCCGCGUGUGUGAAGAAGGUCUUCGGAUUGUAAAGCACUUUAAGUUGGGAGGAAGGGCAGUAAGUUAAUACCUUGCUGUUUUGACGUUACCGAC